AUUGAACGCUGGCGGCAGGCCUAACACAUGCAAGUCGAGCGAGCGGCGGACGGGUGAGUAAUGUAUGGGGACUGCCUGAUAGAGGGGGAUAACUACGGGAAACGGUGGCUAAUACCGCAUACUAUCGGAUAACCCAUAUGGGAUUAGCUAGUGGGUGGGGUAAAGGCUCACCUAGGCGACGAUCUCUAGCUGGUCUGAGAGGGUGAUCAGCCACACUGGGACUGAGACACGGCCCAGACUCCUACGGAGGCAGCAGUGGGGAAUAUUGCGCAAUGGGCGAAAGCCUGAUGCAGCCAUGCCGCGUGUAUGAAGAAGGCCUUAGGGUUGUAAAGUACUUUUAGUGGGGAGGCGUUACCCGCAGAAGAAGCACCGGCUAACUCCGUGCCAGCAGCCGCGGUAAUUC
This 403-nucleotide ribosomal RNA is filed under the name uncultured bacterium. RNAcentral describes it as "partial 16S ribosomal RNA". It matches the Rfam family "Bacterial small subunit ribosomal RNA", at positions 30 to 526 of the family's 1533-position model. The record is from RNAcentral.